RNAcentral lists this transfer RNA (85 nucleotides) under Felis catus (domestic cat). It matches the Rfam family "tRNA". Rfam says of the family: Transfer RNA (tRNA) molecules are approximately 80 nucleotides in length. Their secondary structure includes four short double-helical elements and three loops (D, anti-codon, and T loops). Lineage: Eukaryota; Metazoa; Chordata; Mammalia; Carnivora; Felidae. The record is from Rfam by way of RNAcentral. RNAcentral also lists the same sequence under 3 other names.
GCCUGGGUGGCUCAGUCGGUUAAGCAUCUGACUUUGGCUCAGGUCAUGAUCUCAAGGUUCGUGGGUUUGAGCCCCGCAUUGGGCU